Acanthosepion pharaonis is the source of this 114-nucleotide non-coding RNA. The record is from the annotation of a GenBank genome assembly. NCBI's taxonomy places the organism in Eukaryota, Metazoa, Mollusca, Cephalopoda, Sepiida, Sepiidae.
UACGAUCAAAUCACGUUGAAAACAUCGGUUCUCGUAAGAUCACUGAAGUUAAGCAGUGUCGGUCGCAGUCAGUUCUUUGAGGGAAGACCGCUUGGGAACAUUGGGUACUGUAAG